Small nuclear RNA from Myotis lucifugus (little brown bat), 164 nucleotides. Its record names the gene U1. It matches the Rfam family "U1 spliceosomal RNA". Rfam says of the family: U1 is a small nuclear RNA (snRNA) component of the spliceosome (involved in pre-mRNA splicing). Its 5' end forms complementary base pairs with the 5' splice junction, thus defining the 5' donor site of an intron. The record is from Ensembl. NCBI's taxonomy places the organism in Eukaryota, Metazoa, Chordata, Mammalia, Chiroptera, Vespertilionidae.
AGAUUUACCUGACAGGGAAGAUACCAUGGUCACAAAGAUGGUUUUCUCAGGACCAGGGGUAUCUAUUACACCCCAGAUGUGCUGACCCCUGAGACGUCCCCAACUGUGGGAAACUCGAUUGCACAAUUUGUGGAAGUGGGGGACUGUGUUCACAUUCUCCCCUG